RNAcentral lists this ribosomal RNA (369 nucleotides) under uncultured Prevotella sp. Its description in RNAcentral is "bacterial SSU rRNA". It matches the Rfam family "Bacterial small subunit ribosomal RNA", at positions 428 to 796 of the family's 1533-position model. The record is from RNAcentral. Lineage: Bacteria; Pseudomonadati; Bacteroidota; Bacteroidia; Bacteroidales; Prevotellaceae.
AACUGCUUUUUAGGUGAAUAAAGAGGGGCACGCGUGCCCUGUUGCAUGUAGCCUUAGAAUAAGGACCGGCUAAUUCCGUGCCAGCAGCCGCGGUAAUACGGAAGGUCCGGGUGUUAUCCGGAUUUAUUGGGUUUAGAGGGAGCGUAGGCCGCAGGUUAAGUGUGUUGUGAAAAGCAGUCGCCCAACGUCUGCCUUGCAGCGCAAACUGUCCUGCUUGAGUGCGCACAACGCAGGCGGAAUUCGUCGUGUAGCGGUGAAAUGCUUAGAUAUGACGAAGAACUCCGAUUGCGAAGGCAGCUUGCGGGAGCGCAACUGACGCUGAAGCUCGAAAGUGCGGGUAUCGAACAGGAUUAGAUACCCUGGUAGUCC